UAGAAUUAGAAUACAGUGGUACCUCGGGUUAAGUACUUAAUUUGUUCCGGAGGUCCGUACUUAACCUGAAACUGUUCUUAACCUGAAGCACCACUUUAGCUAAUGGGGCCUCCUGCUGCUGCCGCGCUGCCGGAGCCCGAUUUCUGUUCUUAUCCUGAAGCAAAGUUCUUAACCUGAAGCACUAUUUCUAGGUUAGCGGAGUGUGUAACCUGAAGCGUAUGUAACCCGAGGUACCACUGUAAUAAUAAUAAGAAGAGCAGCAGCAGAAGUAGAAGCAGCAGCAGCAGCAGCAGCAGCAAGAACAACAACAGAAUAAGAUGUCCUUAUUUUCAUCGGAGAAAUAUUGGAAGGUAUGAAAUAGCAAUGUGCUAGAAGUUUUUAAAUUCCUCAGUCUGAAAAUGAACAUAUACCCCCCACCCAUUUCUAAUGCUAAUUAAGAUAGCAUGCAGUAAGUAUUCAAUGUUCUAGAUGUAAACCUGCAGUCAAUGUACCUCAAUCCAAGAAUGUUGAAUCACAGGACGGAGGGGGUGGGGUGACGGAGAGGAAAAUGUGCAUCUCUGCUGCACUUCCUACAGCUUCUUUGAGACAGAAAUCUGAUUGGGCGCAUAAUCGUGUCAUUUAAAUGGAGAGCAAUAAGGCAAAAUUGACUCCCUGUCAUGUCGCCCUCCUGUCCUCGAGUGCUUAUUAUGUGUACUAGCGGCAAACAAUGCAGAAGAGACGAGGAGAGGUAGUGAAUCAAACAAACUUGCCACAGUUUACAUUCCUAUAAAGCUAAGUAUUUGCACGGCAGUAAAUGAAUAUUUAUGCUAAGUGCGUACUUCCCUCUCCUGAACGCUUUCAACUCAUCCAACAUCCAUCCUGCGUAACAGGCGGAGGCAGAGCAAACAGGAACGCUGGAGCAUGGCGAGGGACUGGUCACCACUUGCCUUAAUCCCAGAGUCCAGCAGUGACCAGGGCAUGGAAUCAGAGGCUGGUUGAAGAACUGGACCAGCAUCCUGGAUCUGGUGCUGGAGCUGAGAUUGGC
This 1024-nucleotide long non-coding RNA is filed under the name Podarcis muralis (Common wall lizard). RNAcentral describes it as "lncRNA (ENSPMRG00000008543.1)". The record is from RNAcentral. Lineage: Eukaryota; Metazoa; Chordata; Lepidosauria; Squamata; Lacertidae.